Molecule: ribosomal RNA, 491 nt
Filed under: uncultured bacterium
Lineage: Bacteria
Description: partial 16S ribosomal RNA
Rfam family: Bacterial small subunit ribosomal RNA
Source: RNAcentral
AGUGAACGCUGGCGGUAGGCCUAACACAUGCAAGUCGAACGGCAGCACAGUAAGAGCUUGCUCUUACGGGUGGCGAGUGGCGGACGGGUGAGGAAUACAUCGGAAUCUACUUUUUCGUGGGGGAUAACGUAGGGAAACUUACGCUAAUACCGCAUACGACCUACGGGUGAAAGCAGGGGAUCUUCGGACCUUGCGCGAUUGAAUGAGCCGAUGUCGGAUUAGCUAGUUGGCGGGGUAAAGGCCCACCAAGGCGACGAUCCGUAGCUGGUCUGAGAGGAUGGUCGGCCACACUGGAAGUGAGACACGGUCCAGACGCCUACGGGAGGCAGCAGGGGGGAAUAUUGGACAAGGGGCGGAAGCCUGAUCCAGCCAUACCGCGUGGGUGAAGAAGGCCUUCGGGUUGUAAAGCCCUUUUGUUGGGAAAGAAAAGCAGCAGGUUAAUACCCCGCUGUUCUGACGGUACCCAAAGAAUAAGCACCGGCUAACUUCGG